This 450-nucleotide ribosomal RNA is filed under the name uncultured bacterium. RNAcentral's name for it is "partial 16S ribosomal RNA". It matches the Rfam family "Bacterial small subunit ribosomal RNA", at positions 329 to 795 of the family's 1533-position model. The record is from RNAcentral.
UUCCAGACUCCUACGGGAGGCAGCAGUGGGGGAUAUUGCACAAUGGGGGGAACCCUGAUGCAGCGACGCCGCGUGGGUGAAGGAGCGUUUCGGCGCGUAAAGCCCUAUCGGCAGGGAAGAAGGAGGACGGUACCUGACUAAGAAGCCCCGGCUAACUACGUGCCAGCAGCCGCGGUAAUACGGGGGGUGCAAGCGUUGUCCGGAAUCAUUGGGCGUAAAGAGUUCGUAGGCGGCACGUAAAGUCUGGUGUUAAAGGCAGAGGCUCAACUUCUGUACGGCACUGGAUACUUGCGAGCUAGAAUGCGGUGGAGGUAAAGGGAAUUCCUGGUGUAGCGGUGAAAUGCUUAGAUAUCAGGAGGAACAUCGGUGGCGUAAGCGCUGUACUGGGCCGUAAUUGACGCUGAGGAACGAAAGCCAGGGUAGCAAAUGGGAUUAGAUACCCUUGUAGCA